Molecule: ribosomal RNA, 503 nt
Filed under: uncultured Bacillota bacterium
Lineage: Bacteria; Bacillati; Bacillota
Description: bacterial SSU rRNA
Rfam family: Bacterial small subunit ribosomal RNA
Source: RNAcentral
GGCAAGCGUUGUCCGGAAUUAUUGGGCGUAAAGCGCGCGCAGGUGGUUCCUUAAGUCUGAUGUGAAAGCCCACGGCUCAACCGUGGAGGGUCAUUGGAAACUGGGGAACUUGAGUGCAGAAGAGGAAAGUGGAAUUCCAAGUGUAGCGGUGAAAUGCGUAGAGAUUUGGAGGAACACCAGUGGCGAAGGCGACUUUCUGGUCUGUAACUGACACUGAGGCGCGAAAGCGUGGGGAGCAAACAGGAUUAGACACCCUGGUAGUCCACGCCGUAAACGAUGAGUGCUAAGUGUUAGAGGGUUUCCGCCCUUUAGUGCUGCAGCUAACGCAUUAAGCACUCCGCCUGGGGAGUACGGCCGCAAGGCUGAAACUCAAAGGAAUUGACGGGGGCCCGCACAAGCGGUGGAGCAUGUGGUUUAAUUCGAAGCAACGCGAAGAACCUUACCAGGUCUUGACAUCCUCUGACAACCCUAGAGAUAGGGCUUUCCCCUUCGGGGGACAGAGU